GAGAGAAAGAAAGAGAGAGAACUGAUGAAACAUUGAGAAAACUUGCUACAGGUAUAUUUGCUUCCUUUUCUCUCCUCCUGGUUUGUGGUUGUUGAAAAAAAAAUAAAGUUUUUGUGGGGGUGCCGUUGUGCCGUUCCAUAAAAAAAAAUCAACAACAAAGAAAUGAUCCUUGGCCUCGUUUUGGUUGUCGUUGUUUGUGGAUGAAGAGAAGAAAAAAAAAGC
This 222-nucleotide non-coding RNA is filed under the name Fragilariopsis kerguelensis. Lineage: Eukaryota; Bacillariophyta; Bacillariophyceae; Bacillariales; Bacillariaceae. The record is from RNAcentral.